GACGAACGCUGGCGGCGUGCCUAAUACAUGCAAGUCGAACGAAGCUGUUUUAACUGGUGCUUGCACCGACAUAAACAACUGAGUGGCGAACGGGUGAGUAACACGUGGGUAACCUGCCCCAAAGCGGGGGAUAACAUUUGGAAACAGAUGCUAAUACCGCAUAACCACAGAAACCACAUGGUUUCUGUGUCAAAGAUGGUUUCGGCUAUCACUUUGGGAUGGACCCGCGGCGUAUUAGCUAGUUGGUAAGGUAAUGGCUUACCAAGGCAAUGAUACGUAGCCGAACUGAGAGGUUGAUCGGCCACAUUGGGACUGAGACACGGCCCAAACUCCUACGGGAGGCAGCAGUAGGGAAUCUUCCACAAUGGACGAAAGUCUGAUGGAGCAACGCCGCGUGAGUGAAGAAGGUUUUCGGAUCGUAAAACUCUGUUGUCAGAGAAGAACGUGUGCGAGAGUAACUGCUCGUGCAGUGACGGUAUCUGGCCAGAAAGCCACGACUAACUACGUGCCAGCCGCCGCAGUAA
RNAcentral lists this ribosomal RNA (524 nucleotides) under uncultured bacterium. RNAcentral describes it as "partial 16S ribosomal RNA". It matches the Rfam family "Bacterial small subunit ribosomal RNA", at positions 28 to 523 of the family's 1533-position model. The record is from RNAcentral.